Hibiscus syriacus is the source of this 565-nucleotide long non-coding RNA. RefSeq lists it as uncharacterized. Lineage: Eukaryota; Viridiplantae; Streptophyta; Magnoliopsida; Malvales; Malvaceae. The record is from RefSeq and is a predicted model, not a curated record. The transcript has 4 exons.
AACGAUAACCACACAGCAGCAAGGAAGUUCAAAGUUGUAGGUUAGAAGCGGGCAAUCCAAAACCCGAAAACCACCAAACUGUCACGGAGGGUCCAGGAAGCGUCUGUCUUCAGCUAUCCGAGCCAUCACUGGCAGUGGAACGUCUUCAAUCCGGUCGGAAUCUUCAUUUCCCAGACUUGCCUCAGAAUCUAAGAAAGGAUCUUUAGCACCACGGAACGAGCAUCGCCUUCAAAACUCACUCUCGUGAAACCCAUGCCUUGGGUAAAUUCCAAAGCAUGAAGAGUCGCCCAGCCUCCGCAGCAAAUGCCGAGGUACAUGGAAUCAAAGUUUGCCUUUACAAAACCAGGAGGGGGAGCCCAAUCCAUCCACCUACACAGUCGUAGCAGAGUUGUAAUCGAGGCAAUGAGAUCUAACGAAGCAUUCCUCGUGAUGUACUUCUUCAGUAGAGACUUAAGAAAUGUCGAUGUUGAAGCUGAGACUUGGUGAGAAGACUGCCCUUGAAAAUUUUCCUGAUUAUUGUGUUAUUGUUGUGGCAUUGCUUGAUGAUGUUGAAACAUUGGUUGCA